RNAcentral lists this ribosomal RNA (350 nucleotides) under Boophis luteus. RNAcentral describes it as "partial 16S ribosomal RNA". It matches the Rfam family "Bacterial large subunit ribosomal RNA", at positions 2085 to 2597 of the family's 2925-position model. The record is from RNAcentral. Lineage: Eukaryota; Metazoa; Chordata; Amphibia; Anura; Mantellidae.
AAGACCCCAUGGAGCUUUAAACCUAACAACACCCGUUUAUCUUUCACCUUAGCAUUCAUUAGGUCCUGUUUGUUUGGUUUUAGGUUGGGGUGACCACGGAGUAUAAAAUAACCUCCAAGAAAAAUGGAUCAACAAUCCUUAUCAAAGAACUACAAUUCUAUGAAUUAAUAAAUUAAUUUUUAAUGACCCGAUAUUUAUUCGAUCAACGAACCAAGUUACCCUGGGGAUAACAGCGCAAUCCACUUUAAGAGCCCAUAUCGACAAGUGGGUUUACGACCUCGAUGUUGGAUCAGGGUAUCCUAGUGGUGCAGCAGCUACUAAUGGUUCGUUUGUUCAACGAUUAAAACCCU